GACAGAGGGUGCAAACGUUGUUCGGAAUUACUGGGCGUAAAGAGCUCGUAGGUGGUUUGUCGCGUUGUUCGUGAAAACUCACAGCUUAACUGUGGGCGUGCGGGCGAUACGGGCAGACUUGAGUACUGCAGGGGAGACUGGAAUUCCUGGUGUAGCGGUGGAAUGCGCAGAUAUCAGGAGGAACACCGGUGGCGAAGGCGGGUCUCUGGGCCGAUACUGACGCUGAGGAGCGAAAGCGUGGGGAGCGAACAGG
RNAcentral lists this ribosomal RNA (253 nucleotides) under uncultured bacterium. RNAcentral describes it as "partial 16S ribosomal RNA". It matches the Rfam family "Bacterial small subunit ribosomal RNA", at positions 524 to 776 of the family's 1533-position model. The record is from RNAcentral.